AGCAGCCGCGGUAAUUCCAGCUCCAAUAGCGUAUAUUAAAGUUGUUGCAGUUAAAAAGCUCGUAGUUGAAUUUCGGGAUUGGCGCAUCGGUCGUGCCUCACGGGGUAUGAACUGGUGCAGUCAAUUUCUCACCUUCUGGAGAACCGCGAUGUCCUUAAUUGGAUGCCGCGGGGAACCAGGACCUUUACUUUGAAAAAAUUAGAGUGUUUAAAGCAGGCAUUUUUGCUUGAAUACAUUAGCAUGGAAUAAUAAAAUAGGACGGCAUGGUUCUAUUUUGUUGGUUUCUAGGACCACCGUAAUGAUUAAUAGGGAUAGUUGGGGGCAUUAGUAUUCAAUUGUCAGAGGUGAAAUUCUUGGAUUUAUUGAAGACUAACUACUGCGAAAGCAUUUGCCAAGGAUGUUUUCAUUAAUCAAGAACGAAAGUUAGGGGAUCGAAGACGAUCAGAUACCGUCGUAGUCUUAACCAUAAACUAUGCCGACUAGGAAUCAGACGAUGUUAAUUUUUAAUGUACUCGUUUGG
This 520-nucleotide small RNA is filed under the name uncultured Entrophospora. Its description in RNAcentral is "SSU rRNA". It matches the Rfam family "Eukaryotic small subunit ribosomal RNA", at positions 569 to 1083 of the family's 1831-position model. Lineage: Eukaryota; Fungi; Glomeromycota; Glomeromycetes; Entrophosporales; Entrophosporaceae. The record is from RNAcentral.